This is a long non-coding RNA of Carassius carassius (crucian carp), 642 nucleotides long. RefSeq lists it as uncharacterized. The transcript has 4 exons. NCBI's taxonomy places the organism in Eukaryota, Metazoa, Chordata, Actinopteri, Cypriniformes, Cyprinidae. The record is from RefSeq and is a predicted model, not a curated record.
AAAGUGAAUAAUACGUUUGUCUUGUUUUGAUUUAAAAUUGUAUUGCUAAAAAUCUCUCGGGAUUUGUACUUCCGGAAGGAACGCUACUUCCUGAUGAAAAGCCGAAAAGCCCGCUCAACUCCCACGCAAAUUAACAGAUGCAACGGCGAACAUCACGUACAAUCCAGUGACACAUCAUGUGACAUGGCUCCGUCAUUAAAUCGAAAAUUGCUGUCAAUGAUUGAAGGACGUCAAACAAAGAGGAAGAAACUGAAGUUGAUUAAAUGGCUCCAAAAAAAAAAAAUUGCUUAAAGCAAAAAUGAAGUGCAAUUUAUGCCAACAUAAAAUGAAGCUGACUCAUAAACCCAACAAAGCAGACAACUAUGUUUGGUCCUGUACACGAAACAGACAUAAGGGAAGGUUCAAGUCAGUGAGGUAUGGAUCACUUUUUGCCAAGUCAAAGUGUAAUUUAUUCUCCUGGAUGAAGUUCAUAUAUCGGUUUGCUCAAGGCCUUCAGUUGAGACAAAUCGACAUGAUUGAAGAUGGCAUUGCUGGAAGCUCACGUACACUCAGCAGCAUGGCCAAAAAAGUUCGAGCUAUUUGUAAAGAAUCCAUGAAGUUGUAUGCCAGAAGGAAGGACCAAAUGAUAGGACAACCCAGGGA